UGACUUUGGUCAAAGUCAAACUGCUUCGAGUUUGACCAAGUUUAUAGAAAAAAAAUAGUAAUAUUUUCGACCCAAGAUAAAUUUAUUAUAAAAAUAUAUUUAAUUAUUAAUUUAAUAAAACUAAUUUGGUAAUGUAAAUAUUACUAUAUUUAUCUAUAAACUUGAUCAAACUUUAAGCAGUUUGACUUUGACCAAAGUCAA
Molecule: non-coding RNA, 201 nt
Organism: Oryza nivara
Lineage: Eukaryota; Viridiplantae; Streptophyta; Magnoliopsida; Poales; Poaceae
Source: Rfam